AACUCAUCAGGACAACUAAAGUUUUAGGAUUGACAGAUUGAUAGCUCUUUCUUGAUUGACUUAAUGGUGGUGCAUGGCCGUUUUUGGUUGGUGGAUCGAUCCGUCUGGUUAAUUCCGUUAACGAACGAGACCUCGGCACUCCGAAUAGCGCGGCGGACGUCGCGGCCUCCGGGCCGUCUUCCGCACGAGCUUCUUAGAGGGGACCGUCCCCCCGCCGGGGAAGGAGGUGCGAGGCAACGACAGGUCUGUGAUGCCCUUAGAUGUUCUGGGCCGCACGCGCAUUACACUGACGCGUCCAACGGGUGACUCCCGACCCGAAGGGGCCGGGGAAUCCGCAAGGCGCGUCGUGAUGGGGAUUGAACGUUGCAAUUGUUGUUCACGAACGAGGAAUUCCUAGUAGGCGCGGGUCAUCAACCCGCGCCGAUUACGUCCCUGCCCUUUGUACACACCG
RNAcentral lists this ribosomal RNA (451 nucleotides) under uncultured eukaryote. RNAcentral describes it as "bacterial SSU rRNA". It matches the Rfam family "Eukaryotic small subunit ribosomal RNA", at positions 1212 to 1671 of the family's 1831-position model. The record is from RNAcentral.